CUUAUGUGAGAUUAGAUUAGAGGGUGUUUAUGAAGGUCUUCAUGUUAAAUGAUCACAUCAGUGUUCUGGUUCUCCAUUCAGGAUUGGGUUUUAGUUCUGGUUCUCCACUCGGGAUUGUGUUCUGGUUCUCCACUCGGGAUUGUGUUCUGGUUCUGUUUCUCCACUUGGGAUUGUGUUCUGGCUUACCACUCAGGAUUGUGUUCUGGUUCUGUUUCUCCACUUGGGAUUGUGUUCUGGUUCUGUUUCUCCACUUGGGAUUGUGUUCUGGCUUACCACUCAGGAUUGUGAUUGUGUUCUGGUUCUCCACUCAGGAUUGUGUUCUGGUUCUCCACUCAGGAUUGUGUUCUGGUUCUGGUUCUCCACUCAGGAUUGUGUUCUGGUUCUCCACUCAGGAUUGUGUUCUGGUUCUCUUCUGAGGAAUGUGUUCUGGUUCUGGUUCUCCACUCAGGAUUGUGUUCUGGUUCUCCACUCAGGAUUGUGUUCUGGUUCUCCACUCGGGAUUGUGUUCUGGUUCUCUUCUGAGGAAUGUGUUCUGGUUCUGGUUCUCCACUCAGGAUUGUGUUCUGGUUCUCCACUCAGGAUUGUGUUCUGGUUCUC
Molecule: long non-coding RNA, 597 nt
Organism: Ictalurus punctatus (channel catfish)
Lineage: Eukaryota; Metazoa; Chordata; Actinopteri; Siluriformes; Ictaluridae
Source: Ensembl